This is an RNA transcript of Oncorhynchus kisutch (coho salmon), 7472 nucleotides long. It is a transcript of the gene named AP2-associated protein kinase 1, with no coding region annotated. The record is from RefSeq and is a predicted model, not a curated record. Lineage: Eukaryota; Metazoa; Chordata; Actinopteri; Salmoniformes; Salmonidae. The transcript is spliced from 21 exons.
UUUUUUAGUGUCGCUGACGAGGCGCUGAUUGCACCAAGUUGUUGUACUACGGGAGCAAAUCGGGCAAUGAAUUACUAGCUAGUAGCUAGAACACCAAAGUAGCUAGAUAGGCAGCUAAUUAUCGAAUAUAAACCAGGGAGGAGAUUCAGGAGUCAACACCAAGAAAGAGCUCUCGAUAAACAAGUGAAAUAAAUGCCUUUACGCUGAAAAAUGGGUGGAGAUGUGUGUAAAUAGAAGCUAGUAACUUAGCAGGCUGUCAACGCAAUUUUCAAAGCCAGAUAGGUUUUUUUGUUUGUUGUUGAUAUCAUUAGCUAAUUGGUUGGCAAACAUUAACUAGAAAUUUAUAAAUCGAUUAACCGUGUCAUCUCGUGUGUUGAUAGCUAGUUAACUAUUUAACUAGCUUGCUAUUAUGACAGUCGAAACAUUGGUAACUAGUUGCGCUUGGAAAUCGAACGAGCAGGCUCUUCAAGAGGAUAGCUUUAGUUAGCCUAAGGUGGCUACGGUCAUUCAAUUAUCCAAAGCUGAUCGUAAACAACAUCUACGCGUUAUUGUAAAUAGGUAUUGAUUGCAAACCACUCGACACUUGGCAAACAUCACCGGGAAAUGAAGAAGUUCUUCGAUUCACGCCGGGAACUUGUGAGUUCCGGGCCUGGUUCUGGAGCGGGUGGAGGAGGCACUGGGUCCGGCAGCAGCGGUGGCAGUUUCAUUGGACGGGUAUUCACCAUUGGACGGUAUCAAGUGACCGUUGAUGAAACUGUUGCUGAAGGAGGCUUUGCCAUUGUGUUCCUGGUGCGGACCCACCAGGGGGUCCGCUGUGCCCUGAAGAGAAUGUACGUCAACAACGAGCACGACCUGCAUAUCUGCAAGCUAGAGAUCCAGAUCAUGAGGGACCUUGUGGGCCACAGGAACAUUGUGGGUUUCCUGGACUCCAGUAUAACUGCAGUGGGAUCAGGAGAUGUCUGGGAGGUCCUCAUCCUCAUGGACUUCUGUCGUGGCGGUCAGGUGGUGAACCUGAUGAACCAGCGUCUGCAAACAGGCUUCACUGAGGCAGAAGUGCUGCAGAUCUUCUGUGACACCUGUGAGGCUGUGGCCCGCCUCCACCAGUGCAAGACGCCAAUCAUCCAUCGAGAUCUCAAGGUGGAGAAUAUCCUGCUCCAUGACAGGGGACACUACGUGCUGUGUGACUUUGGUAGCGCCACCAACCGCUUCCAGGACCCUCAGGCAGAGGGCGUUCCACUGGUGGAGGAGGAAAUCAAGAAGUACACUACUCUGUCAUACAGAGCCCCAGAGAUGAUCAACCUUUACAAUGGCAUGGUCAUCACUACAAAGGCAGACAUCUGGGCUAUGGGCUGCCUACUGUAUAAACUGUGCUACUUCACCCUGCCAUUUGGGGAGAGCCAGGUGGCCAUCUGUGACGGCAGCUUCACUAUACCAGACAACUCCCGCUAUUCCCCGGACAUGCACUGCCUCAUCAGAUACAUGCUGGAGCCUGACCCAGAGCUGAGACCAGAUAUCUACCAAGUGUCCCACUUCUCCUUCAGGCUGGCCGGGAUAGAAUGCCCCAUCCGGAACGUACAUAACUCUCCUAUUCCUACAAAACUCCCUGAACCAAUCAGAGCCAGCGACGCUGUGGCCAAAAAGAGUCAAUCCAAAGCCAGGCUCUCAGACCCUGUCCCCACAAUGGAGACGUCCAUCACGCCCCGUUCACGCCCUAAAGCUGGAGGGGCCCAGUCCAUAGGCAUCCUGCCCAUCCAGCCGGCCCUCACCCCACGCAAGAGACCCAACAUGGCUGCAGGAGGGCCCCAGUCCAUAGGUGUUUUAGGCACCGCCCAGCCUGCAGUUGCUGUCCAAUUAGUCCAGCAGGUCACACCCCCACUGGCUCAGACCGCCCCUUCGCAGCCCAUGGCCACGCCCCAGCAUCAGCAGGGUCUCUUCAUGAAGCAGCAGGCUGCAGCUUUCUUCAGCCCACAGCAGCAGACCAACCAGCAUCUGGCUCCUGGACGUGGGCUCCAUAAGGUUGGCACCCUGACACCCCCCUCCUCCCCAAAGAUGCCCCCCCGAGGCAGUCACAGACGCAUCCUGAGUGACGUCACCCACAGUGCUGUGUUUGGGGUCCCAAUCAGCAAGUCAACCCAGCUACUGCAGGCGGCUGCAGCAGAGGCCAGCCUCAACAAGUCCAAGUCAGCAAGCACCACCCCCUCUGGCUCCCCCUGCUCCUCCCAGCAGAGUGUGUACCAGCCAGGGGAGGGCGGUGCCCAGACAGCCCCCUCUGUACCCACUGGCAGCUGGAACCCUUUUGGUGAUGACAACUUCUCCAAGCUCUCUGCAGAGGAGCUGCUCAACAAGGACUUUGCCAAGCUGGCCGAGACUACAACAGGGGAGAGGGCCAGCCUCUCCACAGAGAACCUCAUCUCAGGGCUGCAGCCUGUCUCUGCUGCUGGGGCCACAUGCAAGGCUUUCCCAGCUGAGAGAACUGCUGACAUCCUGGGUUUGGAUGCAGGCUCAGCGAUGUUGAGUGUCCCGGACCCCUUUAACGCCCUCUCCCUCUCUGACACCACAGAGAAGCUGAUUGAGGGACUGAAGUCCCCUGAGACAUCUCUGCUGCUCCCUGACCUUUUACCCCUGGCUGACCCCUUCAGCAGCUCUGCAGAGGGCAACAGCAAUGCAGUGAAGGCUGAGAUGUGUGUGGACUCUCUCAUCCCGGGCCUGGAUACAGUCUCAGCCAGCCUGCCAGACUCUCUGGCUGGAGAGGACUCUCUGCUGGGCUGCUCUCUGCUGUCUCACACCUCCACCCCUGGGGAUCAAACUAUCUGUGCACCACCCUCCUCCUGCUCCUCUGCCCCUCCUGGCUCUGCUUCCUGUCUGGACAAGCUAGCUCCAGUCUCAUUUGGCACUGCCCAGACAUCUGCUGAAUCUGCUUACCUCAUGUUGGGCUUCCAGCCGCCCGAGGCUGGGGAGAAGGGCACUGAGGACGAGUUUGACCCCAUCCCUGUGCUCAUCUCCAAACACUCCAACAACCAAGGUGGUCACUCGCGCAGCAACAGUGGCACUUCAGAGUCCAGCAUCCCCAACUUGGCCCGCUCCCUUCUGCUGGUGGAUCAGCUCAUCGACCUCUAGGGGGUGGGAGAGAGAGGUCGAAGGGGCAGCUUGCAGUCGUAACAUGAUGGGGAGAGGGGGCAGCAGAGGCACUUAUGUAGCACCUUGCAAGGUGAAAUGGAGGAGUUUUAGUGUGGACUAGAGAAUACUUUCUCUGGUGUGCCUCUGUGCCCCCGCCUCCAUCUCUUGCUUUCUUGAUACGCUGGUUUCAAACCAUUCAUCCUGGCCGUUGGCAUUCCCAUGUUGGUAGCAACAUGGCAUUAACUCUCCGUCCUGACAGACUGUCUGCUUCUGUCUUGGCUGCACUGUGGUCUUUAUCACGCUGUCGUCCAUCUGUCAACAUUCCUCUUUGUCCUGCCUUGCGGUUUCAACCCCACGCUAUUCACAUACUGCCUGGCUUGCCCAUAACCCCAUUGGCUUUGCUGUUUUACAAUCUUUGAUCAGGGUUUAUGCAAACGUAUGUGUCCCAGGUCUGACCAUGUAACACAGCAGUAUAGUACUUCUAUCUCUCCUAGCUAUCUGUAUGCACUCUUCCUGUAGCAGCUAUGACCAUGUCUAGUCAUUAGAGCAAAGCAGGCCUUUAGGAAAGCAGACAUUGACUGAACUAUCACGAGCUGCUUGCAUGGGCCAUACAGAUGAGACCAAUGAGCUGUCAGUCCUUAGGCCCCUGCUGUGUGUAACUUUUCUCAAACUGCUGUGGUUCACCGGUGCCCCCUGGGAAUGUUUGGCUGUCUGUUGCAAAUGGUCGAAGAUGUCUGUCAUUCUGAGGUCAAAAGCGCUUCUGCAACAUGCCCUGUUAUGGUGGACAUCUACAGACUGUGUCUAGCUACCCCAAAACUGCCUCUGAUUGUCUGGUCUUCUACAACAGCCAUCUCCUUGACUGCACAACCAUGUUUAUCUUGGCUGUGCUUUAUGUAUCUGAACACGGGAUUAUUGUUCCCGUGUUGUGCAUUUCCUGUAGUUUAAGGUCAUAUUGAGCGGGUGCAUUUAGCCUCUUACUAUACCUCUAAUUAUAAUAAUUAUCUGGAAAGGUUGACUCCUUCGUGGUAUUAUUCUAAAUGUGUGUAAUUCAUUUCAAUGCCCUCGUCUUCUUGGUCAUACUGUACAUUAAGACGGGUGCUCAAGACAUUUCUCUUAUGGGCAGAAUGCAUGCUAACCAGUUAUUGAUCAUCUGUAUUCCAAUAAGAGCUUUAUCGUGGCUAUUCUGUUUGAUUUGGGUUUCUGUCCUCGGCCCAUUGGCAAGGCUAACAGAUCUACUUUUCCCAGAAUGUGAGAGAAAUUAGUCCCAUAUUGAGCAUGGAUACAGCUGAACAGUGCAAUGGUUGUGUAUCUCAUUGGUUGUUUAGUGAGGGUCAGCUGAUCUUUACCAGUGAGCCAGCAGAGUGAGUAGUAGGGUCAGCUGAUCAUUACCAGUGAGCCAGCAGAGUGAGAAGUAGGGUCAGCUGAUCUUUACCAGUGAGCCAGCAGAGUGAGAAGUAGGGUCAGCUGAUCUUUACCAGUGAGCCAGCAGAGUGAGAAGUAGGGUCAGCUGAUCUUUACCAGUGAGCCAGCAGAGUGAGAAGUAGGGUCAGCUGAUCUUUACCAGUGAGCCAGCAGAGUGAGAAGUAGGGUCAGCUGAUCUUUACCAGUGAGCCAGCAGAGUGAGAAGUAGGGUCAGCUGAUCUUGGGUUUUGUCUGCUUGUGUUGUGCUGGUGUUGUCCUACAGCCAAUCACAGUUUCUCUUUUUGUUCCAUGUGUCUCUGUUGCACAUUUUAUCCUCAUCAUUAAUCUCCCUUCUUUCCAAUCUACUCAUCCAUACUACACAAACACACAUAUACACCUUGAUGUUGCUUGUGUAUAGUGUAAUGAUCUGGUCAAAUAUCCAUAACCAACUCAUAUGUAUAUAGAACCAUUAUUUCCUCGUUCUCCCAUUGUAAAGAAGUAGUUAAAGUAUACUGAACAAGAAUAGAAACGCAACAUGCAACAAUUUCAACGAUUUACAGUUCAUAUAAGGAAAUCGGUAAAUUUUAAUAAAUCCAUUAGGCCCUACUCUAUGGACUUCACAUGACUGGGUAGGGGUGCACCCACUGGGGAGCCAGGCCAAGCCAAUCAGAAUGAGUUUUCCCCCACAAAAGGGCUUUAUUCCAGACAGAAAUACUCUGCAGGUAUAGAGCUUCUUGAUAUGCCUCACCUGUCAGGUGGAUGAAUUGUCUUGGCAAAGGAAAAAGGUUUACGAACAGGGAUGUAAACAAAUUUGUGUACAAAAGUUUAAAGUAAUACGCUUUUUGUGCACAUUGCAAAUUUUGGGAUAUUUUAUUUCAGCUCAUGAAACAUGGGACCAACACUUUACAUGUUGCAUUUAUAUUUUUGUUCAGUAUACAUUUUAAAGUGCUUCAUAUUUAAAGACCUAUCAUAAUAUGAAUAAAUGUGACAGUGCUAUAGAAUGAAUGAAUGUAUGAAGUGAGUAUCAAUAUGAAAUAUAUACAAUUCAUAAGUACAUAUUAUAGGUAAAUGGAAAAAAGUUUUUCUGUGUAUUCUUUAUGGGGCUGUAUUUAAGAGUGCAAAGAUAUUGUGUCCCUCCUAUUUGUCCAAAGUAUUUUUGUCUAUCCUUGGUCUUGUGGGAGACUAUUUCAGCAUAGGGAAGCCACUAGCCCCAUGGUUUUAGCGAUCUUCAUUUGGUGGUGUUCUGAGAACAGCUCUGUGCUUGUGACUUGCCUUAUUGGGGUAUUAUCUUAAACCUUCAUCCUUGGUUUUCCCAUCGUUUUUCCUGGUUUGAUUUUCUUCCUCUGAGCUGUAGUUUAUUUAACAAGAGUCCCCUCCCUCUGAAAACAGGGCUUAUGACGGAAGGGUCUUCCUGAUAUCUCUGUCCUUUCCUCCUCCUUUACUGUUACCCCUAAAUGCAUAAAACAAGCAAAGCUAUAUCGCCUGCCUACUUACACGUUACAAUGCAGUCUCAUUUGUUGGAAACAGAACCAAAAUGUGUCUUACUCUUGACACAUCUUCAUCAUCCUCCCAGCCAGCAUAAUCAGGUGAUAUAAUUUACUACAUUGUACCCACACUUGAUUUACCUGAGGAAUAUUCAAAUUAGAUGAUACAAUGUUUCAGAAAUUAAACUGAAAUGCAACCCAUCUAAGAACUCUCAACUAGACAAAAUGCAUUUAUUCAAUUUCAAAAAGUAUUGUUUCCAUACUUGGAAAAUACACCAAGCAAAAAUCUACAUUUCCAUUUGAGGUGUUACUGCUAGUAUCGCAUACUUUAAGUUGAAGUAAACUUUAAACUUUGAAGUAAAAAUGUGUUUUACCCCUCUCCAAACCAUAUAUUGUUCAGUAAGUAGAAAUUGGGCUGUGGCUUUUGAAGAGUGUCUGGAGAAUCAGUAAAACUACUCUUAUUUUGUUUUUCUCCGAUCUACUUGUUGUACAGUCUUUUGCAGGUUUAGGUGUGGCUAACCAAUGCAAUUCUACAGUAGUGCUCAUAUUAUCCUUAGACACCACAGUGCUGUAUUCAGUAGAGGUCUAGCCUUGCCAGUAGAAUUUGACUUGUGUUGCUGUGAAACUGAUGUCCCUAGUGUGUUUGCUGGGGCAAAUAUAUGAACACUGUUGUACUGCGCAAACAGCAGUUGUCCAUAUGUGAAAGCACAGAGCUAUUAUCUAGCGUAUACCUUUAUAUUUUUAUGAAAUGAGAAAAAUAUUCAAAAAAAAAGGGACAUUUAAAUAAACAUCUGAAUGGAACUCUAGUCUCCUUGGUGUAUUUUUAAAUUCAUCAGUAGGAAAUUAAGUUCAAUAUAUGGUGGUGUUAUGAGAUAAUUGAAAGAGCAAGUAUAGGUGGAUAACACAUCAGUCUUUUGCGUAGUCACACACCCACAUAAUUUACUAACCUAAAAAUGUUAAGGCUCACACUUAAGACAGAAAACACAAUCUGCUGUCAGUUUGCCAGUUUAUGAAUGCAUUAAUAGCUUUCGGAAGCCUUUUUUCCUCCUUUCGCCCUAUCAUAAACACUGUAUCUCAGUACAGUAUGGAAAUGCUCACUCAUCCUAUUAUGCCUUGGUGCUAGACUGAGCACCUAACACACACUGCACUCUUACAUAGGGUUUGAGUACUCUCACACCUAACUUCUUGCCUUUCAAGCCACUGGAAGGUUGAGUAUCUUAGAGCUACAGUUCUACCUCUUCUCUUACUCACACCCUGCCCAACUCUUUGCCCUCUGGCUGACUCUGAACUGUGCCCUAAAUGGCUGCCACUAACCCUCUCCCCCUGGAGCUGCCGGCUAACUCCUGCUACCUGCACUACCAAGAGCUGAAAGGGGAGAGUAAAAGCCACGCUGUGCUAGACAAGGGGAGGUCAGAGAUUGAGCUGCCUGAAGAAGGCCACAGAGCAGACCAGGGCUGUGUCCACUCCAGC